UAGGGAAUCUUCCACAAUGGACGCAAGUCUGAUGGAGCAACGCCGCGUGAGUGAAGAAGGUUUUCGGACCGUAAAGCUCUGUUGUUGGUGAAGAAGGAUAGAGGUAGUAACUGGCCUUUAUUUGACGGUAAUCAACCAGAAAGUCACGGCUAACUACGUGCCAGCAGCCGCGGUAAUACGUAGGUGGCAAGCGUUGUCCGGAUUUAUUGGGCGUAAAGCGAGCGCAGGCGGAAGAAUAAGUCUGAUGUGAAAGCCCUCGGCUUAACCGAGGAAUUGCAUCGGAAACUGUUUUUCUUGAGUGCAGAAGAGGAGAGUAGAACUCCAUGUGUAGCGGUGGAAUGCGUAGAUAUAUGGAAGAAUACCAGUGGCGAAGGCGGCUCUCUGGUCUGCAACUGACGCUGAGGCUCGAAAGCAUGGGUAGCGAACAGGAUUAGAUACCCUGGUAGUCCAUGCCGUAAACGAUGAGUGC
This 469-nucleotide ribosomal RNA is filed under the name uncultured bacterium. RNAcentral describes it as "partial 16S ribosomal RNA". It matches the Rfam family "Bacterial small subunit ribosomal RNA", at positions 355 to 816 of the family's 1533-position model. The record is from RNAcentral.